UGGCUCAGGACGAACGCCGGUGGCGUGCCUAAUACAUGCAAGUUGAGCGCUGAAGGUUGGUACUUGUACCGACUGGUUUAGCAGCGAACGGGUGAGUAAUGCGUGGGGAAUCUGCCUUCGAGCGGGGGACAACAUUUGGAAACGAAUGCUAAUACCGCAUAAAAACUUUAAACACAAGUUUUAAGUUUGAAAGAUGCAAUUGCAUCACUCAAAGAUGAUCCCGCGUUGUAUUAGCUAGUUGGUGAGGUAAAGGCUCACCAAGGCGGUGAUACAUAGCCGACCUGAGAGGGUGAUCGGCCACAUUGGGACUGAGACACGGCCCAAACUCCUACGGGAGGCAGCAGUAGGGAAUCUUCGGCAAUGGACGAAAGUCUGACCGAGCAACGCCGCGUGAGUGAAGAAGGUUUUCGGAUCGUAAAACUCUGUUGGUAGAGAAGAACGUUGAUGAGAGUGGAAAGC
Molecule: ribosomal RNA, 459 nt
Filed under: uncultured bacterium
Lineage: Bacteria
Description: bacterial SSU rRNA
Rfam family: Bacterial small subunit ribosomal RNA
Source: RNAcentral